RNAcentral lists this ribosomal RNA (602 nucleotides) under Acidimicrobiales bacterium. RNAcentral describes it as "bacterial SSU rRNA". It matches the Rfam family "Bacterial small subunit ribosomal RNA", at positions 621 to 1226 of the family's 1533-position model. The record is from RNAcentral. Lineage: Bacteria; Bacillati; Actinomycetota; Acidimicrobiia; Acidimicrobiales.
AUGCGCUGAAAACUAUCUCACUAGAGGAUUGGAGGGGAGACUGGAAUUCCUGGUGUAGCAGUGAAAUGCGUAGAUAUCAGGAGGAACACCGGUGGCGAAGGCGAGUCUCUGGACAAUUCCUGACGCUGAGGUACGAAGGCCAGGGUAGCGAAAAGGAUUAGAUACCCUUGUAGUCCUGGCAGUAAACGGUGUGCACUUGCUGUAGGAGGAUUCGACCCCUUCUGUGGCGAAGCUAACGCGUUAAGUGCACCGCCUGGGGAGUACGGUCGCAAGAUUAAAACUCAAAGAAAUUGACGGGGGCCUGCACAAGCGGUGGAGCAUGUGGUUUAAUUCGAUGAUACGCGAGGAACCUUACCAGGGCUUAAAUGUAGUGGGACAGGAGUGGAAAAUCCCUUCUUCGGACUCAUUACAAGGUGCUGCAUGGUUGUCGUCAGCUCGUGCCGUGAGGUGUCAGGUUAAGUCCCAUAACGAGCGCAACCCCUAUUGUUAGUUGCCAGCGAGUAAUGUCGGGAACUCUAGCAAGACUGCCAGUGCAAACUGUGAGGAAGGUGGGGAUGACGUCAAAUCAUCACGGCCCUUACGUCCUGGGCUACACACGUGCU